Molecule: ribosomal RNA, 442 nt
Filed under: uncultured bacterium
Lineage: Bacteria
Description: partial 16S ribosomal RNA
Rfam family: Bacterial small subunit ribosomal RNA
Source: RNAcentral
CCUACGGGUGGCAGCAGUGGGGAAUAUUGCACAAUGGGGGAAACCCUGAUGCAGCGACGCCGCGUGAGUGAAGAAGUAUUUCGGUAUGUAAAGCUCUAUCAGCAGGAACGAGACAAGACGUUACCUGACUAAGAAGCCCCGGCUAACUACGUGCCAGCAGCCGCGGUAAUACGUAUGGGGCAAGCGUUAUCCGGAAUCACUGGGUGUAAAGGGAGCGUAGACGGGUGAGCAAGCCUGAAGUGAAAGGCGGGGGGCCCAACCCCUGGACUGCUUUGGGAACUGUACGGCUGGAGUGCAGGAGAGGUAAGUGGAAUUCCUAGUGUAGCGGUGAAAUGCGUAGAUAUUAGGAGGAACACCAGUGGCGAAGGCGGCUUACUGGACUGUAACUGACGUUGAGGCUCGAAAGCGUGGGGAGCAAACAGGAUUAGAUACCCUGGUAGUC